AUCACUUCUCAGCCUUUUGUCUAAGAUCGAGUGUAGUAUGUUAUUAGUUUAAUAUCUGAUACGUCCUCUAUCUGAGGACAAUUAUUUUACAUGAAUUUCUGGAACUAGGAGAUGGAACAGAAGUUUGCUCCAUCCAUUCCACACAUCGACCUGGUAUUACAGUACUUCCAGGAUCAGUGCACAAAAA
Small nuclear RNA from Myotis daubentonii (Daubenton's bat), 187 nucleotides. RefSeq annotates it as U2 spliceosomal RNA. Lineage: Eukaryota; Metazoa; Chordata; Mammalia; Chiroptera; Vespertilionidae. The record is from RefSeq and is a predicted model, not a curated record.